This 571-nucleotide ribosomal RNA is filed under the name uncultured archaeon. RNAcentral describes it as "bacterial SSU rRNA". It matches the Rfam family "Archaeal small subunit ribosomal RNA", at positions 557 to 1127 of the family's 1478-position model. The record is from RNAcentral.
UCGCAAGCGCUGGGCCGCGAGGGAGACUGCCGAGCUAGAGGGUGGGAGAGGUCAGCGGUAUUCCUGGGGUAGGGGCGAAAUCCUUUGAUCCCAGGAGGACCACCAGUGGCGAAGGCUGCUGACUAGAACACGCCUGACGGUGAGGGACGAAAGCUGGGGGAGCGAAUCGGAUUAGAUACCCGAGUAGUCCCAGCCGUAAACGAUGCAGGCUAGGUGUUGGGGCGGCCACGGGCCGCCUCAGUGCCACAGGGAAGCCAUUAAGCCUGCCGCCUGGGGAGUACGGCCGCAAGGCUGAAACUUAAAGGAAUUGGCGGGGGAGCACCACCAGGCGUGAAGCCUGCGGUUUAAUUGGAGUCAACGCCGGGAACCUUACCGGGAGCGACAGCAGGGUGAAGGCCAGGCUGAAGGUCUUGCCGGACGAGCUGAGAGGAGGUGCAUGGCCGUCGCCAGUUCGUGCCGUGAGGUGUCCUCUUAAGUGAGGUAACGAACGAGACCCGCGCCCCUUGUUGCCACCAAAUCCUAAAGGGAUGUUGGGCACUCUUGGGGGACCGCUGCCGACAAGGCAGAGGAA